Molecule: ribosomal RNA, 137 nt
Filed under: uncultured bacterium
Lineage: Bacteria
Description: partial 16S ribosomal RNA
Rfam family: Bacterial small subunit ribosomal RNA
Source: RNAcentral
CCCGUAGUCUGGGCGAAGCUGUCCAGCCAUGCCGCGUGAUGUGAAGGCCCUAGGGUGAAAGCUCUUUUGUGCGGGAAGAUAAUGACGGUACCGCAAGAAUAAGCCCCGGCUAACUUCGUGCCAGCAGCCGCGGUAAU